Molecule: ribosomal RNA, 359 nt
Filed under: uncultured Methanomicrobiales archaeon
Lineage: Archaea; Methanobacteriati; Methanobacteriota; Methanomicrobia; Methanomicrobiales
Description: bacterial SSU rRNA
Rfam family: Archaeal small subunit ribosomal RNA
Source: RNAcentral
UGAGAGGAGGUGCAUGGCCGUCGUCAGUUCGUACUGUGAAGCAUCCUGUUAAGUCAGGCAACGAGCGAGACCCACGCCAACAGUUGCCAGCUCGUCCUCCGGGGAUGGUGGGGACACUGUUGGGACCGCCUCUGCUAAAGAGGAGGAAGGAAUGGGCAACGGUAGGUCAGCAUGCCCCGAAUUAUCUGGGCUACACGCGGGCUACAAUGGGUGGGACAAUGGGUAUCGACACCGAAAGGUGAAGGCAAUCUCCUAAACCCAUCCGUAGUUCGGAUUGUGGGCUGCAACUCGCCCACAUGAAGCUGGAAUCUGUAGUAAUCGUGUCUCAAAAUGGCACGGUGAAUAUGUCCCUGCUCCUU